RNAcentral lists this ribosomal RNA (253 nucleotides) under uncultured bacterium. Its description in RNAcentral is "partial 16S ribosomal RNA". It matches the Rfam family "Bacterial small subunit ribosomal RNA", at positions 524 to 776 of the family's 1533-position model. The record is from RNAcentral.
UACGUAGGGUGCGAGCGUUAAUCGGAAUUACUGGGCGUAAAGCGUGCGCAGGCGGUGAGCUGUGUCCGAUGUGAAAGCCCCGGGCUUAACCUGGGUAUGGCAUUGGAAACUGGCUCGCUGGAGUGUGGCAGAGGGGGGUGGAAUUCCGCGUGUAGCAGUGAAAUGCGUAGAUAUCAAGAGGAACACCAGUGGCGAAGGCGAGUCCCUGGACGAUACCUGACACUGAGGCACGAAAGCUAGGGGAGCAAACAGG